This is a long non-coding RNA of Dreissena polymorpha, 616 nucleotides long. RefSeq lists it as uncharacterized. The transcript has 3 exons. The record is from RefSeq and is a predicted model, not a curated record. Lineage: Eukaryota; Metazoa; Mollusca; Bivalvia; Myida; Dreissenidae.
AGAUCGAAGUGUCGACAACGUACCCGCAACUGCGAGUACAGUACAGUGCGGAUGACGGAUCCACGUGGCAAAAUAUCGUGCCGAACCGUGCCUCUUAUAUCACUUGGAAUGACGGGGACGUGUUGCUACGAGCAACAAAUGCUGCCGGGACUCGUUUCAGUCGGGCAGUAAAACUAUCAAGAGUACCUGAUGUUAUACCAUCGGUUUAGGACUUCAUGAAAUUAAACCGCAUAGGUUGACGUCAUCUGACGUCGAAUCGGGACUCGACACUUGGGGGAAAAAAUAUAAUAAAGCAUUUGUGACGUUGCCAAGAUAAUUCAAGAUAAGUAUUAUGCAAAGACAAAUAUAUUCGUAACAACGGAUAGUCUUUGUGACGUUAUAUGGAAGGUUUUCGGUGAUGUUUGAGGAAAAGCCAAUGUGGCGUUACAUGUGCCACGAAAUCCAUUGACUAGUCAAUGUGACAGUGUUUUGACGACGCUAAUUAAAUAUUUGUGGAUGACGUUACAUGUAAAAUUAUGUUAAAGUAACGGGAACAAUUUUGAUAACGUCACAUUGACAAUCUUGAAUUUAUCAAUUUGAUUGUCUUGGUGACGUCACACAUUUAAUAGCAUUAAUC